AAUUUUGGACAAUGGGGGAAACCCUGAUCCAGCCAUCCCGCGUGUAUGAUGAAGGAANNNGGGUUNUNACGUACUUCUGGCAGNGANNAAAAGCUAUCGCCUAAUACGAGAUAAUGCUGACGCAAUAUGAAGAAUAGGCACUGACUAACUACGUGCCUGCAUCCGCGGUAAUACGUAGGGUGCAAGCGUUAAGCGGAAUUACUGGGCGUAUAGCGUGUGUAGGCGGUUCGGAAAGAAAGAUGUGAAAUCCCAGGGCUCAACCUUGGAACUGCGUUUUUAACUGCCGAGCUAGAGUAUGUCAGAGGGGGGUAGAAUUCCACGUGUAGCAGUGAAAUGCGUAGAUAUGUGAAGGAAUACCGAUGGCGAAGGCAGCCCCCUGGGAUAAUACUGACGCUCAGACACGAAAGCGUGGGGAGCAAACAGG
RNAcentral lists this ribosomal RNA (424 nucleotides) under uncultured bacterium. Its description in RNAcentral is "partial 16S ribosomal RNA". It matches the Rfam family "Bacterial small subunit ribosomal RNA", at positions 360 to 776 of the family's 1533-position model. The record is from RNAcentral.